This is a non-coding RNA of Sus scrofa (pig), 1375 nucleotides long. The record is from RefSeq and is a predicted model, not a curated record. NCBI's taxonomy places the organism in Eukaryota, Metazoa, Chordata, Mammalia, Artiodactyla, Suidae.
CUCUUAUUGAUGGAGGAGGAAAAAUUCACUCUUGGCCUGGAGGCUGGGAGCCGGGGUGCCGCCAUAGUGCUUCAAUUCCCUGAGCCAACGGAGAAGGCAGCGGGGCUGAGAAACUGGACCACAUGACGUCAUCCUGAUGACAUCAUCCAGACUCCCACAUCCAGCCAAACCCGUGACCUGGAUCCCAGGGGCCCUCAGGCAGAGGCCAGCGGAAACUGUCACUCUAUCCUCCCAGCUCUACCGAGGAUGGCCCUUGGGUGGAACUUAAGGACGUGGAUUACAUGACACUGGGAAACCUCACCGUAUGGCGAAAAACCCUUGACUUUCAGGCCAGUGUGUUCUGCAUCUUUAGGACUAGCCGGAGGUUUCUGGAACACCUUUGACCGGUCACCACUCUCGAGUGGCAACAGCAAGGAAAGUGAGUUCCUGUCCAUCUCAGACAUGGUGGAAUGAUUCAGCCCUCUGCGUACACUGGCUCUUUCCAGAAUCAUCGUUUAUCUCCUGGGCUAGGGCAGCGCUGAAGGUGCACUUGUGGUGGGAAAGAGCGACACCUCUGAGAAAAUUAACUCUGAGCCUCCAGGCUCCUUCUAACGUGGUUGGAUGUUAUUUAAAAGGUAUUCAGAUAAAAGAGAAGCAAUUUAAAAGGUAGCAUCAGACCUGCCCUUUGCUCCCUGAACACCUGUCCUUAGCUGGAUGAUAGGGGAGGGCUGGUCUGGUUGCAGGUGAAGGGAGGUGAAUUGGCUUUGCUGGAAAAGACCCAUCCAUAGAAGGGGUAAGAAGGACAGUUAGAUGAGCCAGGAUCUGGAAUUCCCUGGGAUCACAGAGAACCCAGAAACCUCUUUUCUGUUGCUGAGCCGCGUGUCAGCUUGUGCGCCCGCGCUGGUGAUUGAAAGCUGAGGGUCUGUGUGGGUGGCCGUUUAUUUAAAUGCUCCUAAAAAGUCAGGGUUGAGGAGAAGUUGGUAACCUCGCCGUGCCCUUUGCUCUUUCGGUUCUAUCCAUCCGUUCCUUGUCAAGAACUUUCCUGGAGAGCUACACACCUGGGCACCCAGGAGCAGAACCAGCCUUCCAAGAAAUUGUUACUUGGGACAGAAUUGUCUCUGGGGUCGUCCAGCCACCCAGAAGGUGCCUUUCUUCCAUCCUCGUCCCGCCCCCCAGCCUCCAGCCAGACCACCUGCCACUGCCUCCCAUAGGCAGCCGGCGAGGCAAGAAAAACAGGCUUUCAGGCCAGAGACCUGUACUCUUAAUUCCAGCUCUCUCUUCACUGUGCAGUCUCGGGCAGGUUACGAAACCUUUCUGAUCCUCAGUUCCCUCCUCUGUACCACGGGGAGAAAAUGCUUGCCUCAGUUCUUUUUAUUUUUAUUUUUGGUCUUUUUGU